GAUUGCUGUAAAACAGCAGACAAACAAAACGCACUUACCUCGAAGGUCUCGCCAUUCUGCAGACAGACUGAAAGCCUUUUGCUUUUGCAAACUACAAUUUUAUUGGUAAAACUGGACUUUUGCAGCUGAAAUCCAGGUGUCUCCCGCUGCUGGGAAGCUGUUUCUGUAGCACAGAGCUGUGCGAAACUACCUAUGCAAUGCAAACUGCACUAAACACGCGCAAAUGAGUGCGAUCUAGAGCAUCUGCUCGCACGCAGCCUUGGUCUGUGUGGGUCGAAAAUGGAUAAAUGUUCAAGUAUCCACAGGCCGAAUUGCCCUGGUCAAGCCUCCUGUAGAAUAGUAGCUAACUAAUUAGCUACUGCCUGGCCUGCAAGCCAGGAUUCUUUUAUGAGUAAAAGUGGGAUGGGAGUCUGAAAAACGCAAGAUGCCCGCAAACCAGGAUUGGAUGACCACACUCAGCAACAGCCGUUUACCUACUCAUUCACACAGAAAGCUCAACUCUCAGAAACAGAACCACAGAAAAUAUCAAAGACAGUGAAGGACACAUCUCUGCUGUCAUAAAAACGGC
This 568-nucleotide long non-coding RNA is filed under the name Danio rerio (zebrafish). Its description in RNAcentral is "si:dkey-3l8.8 (ENSDARG00000097278.2)". The record is from RNAcentral. Lineage: Eukaryota; Metazoa; Chordata; Actinopteri; Cypriniformes; Danionidae.